Molecule: ribosomal RNA, 416 nt
Filed under: uncultured prokaryote
Description: bacterial SSU rRNA
Rfam family: Bacterial small subunit ribosomal RNA
Source: RNAcentral
GUGUCAGCCGCCGCGGUAAUACGGAGGUUGCAAGCGUUGUUCGGAAUCACUGGGCGUAAAGGGGGCGCAGGCGGUUUGUUAAGUCUGGAGUGAAAGCCCGGGGCUCAACCUCGGAAGGCCUUUGGAUACUGGCAAACUAGAGUACGGGAGAGGAGAGUGGAAUUCCAGGUGUAGCGGUGAAAUGCGUAGAUAUCUGGAGGAACACCGGUGGCGAAAGCGGCUCUCUGGCCCGAUACUGACGCUGAGGCCCGAAAGCGUGGGGAGCGAACAGGAUUAGAUACCCUGGUAGUCCACGCCGUAAACGUUGUGCACUAGGUGUGGGGGGAUAUCGACCCCCUCCGUGCCGCAGCUAACGCAUUAAGUGCACCGCCUGGGGAGUACGCCCGCAAGGGUGAAACUCAAAUGAAUUGACGGGG